UACAGAGGUGGCAAGCGUUGUUCGGAAUUACUGGGCGUAAAGCGCGCGCAGGCGGUUUCUUAAGUCUGAUGUGAAAGCCCACGGCUCAACCGUGGAGGGUCAUUGGAAACUGGGGAACUUGAGUGCAGAAGAGAAAAGCGGAAUUCCACGUGUAGCGGUGAAAUGCGUAGAGAUGUGGAGGAACACCAGUGGCGAAGGCGGCUUUUUGGUCUGUAACUGACGCUGAGGCGCGAAAGCGUGGGGAGCAAACAGG
RNAcentral lists this ribosomal RNA (253 nucleotides) under uncultured bacterium. RNAcentral describes it as "partial 16S ribosomal RNA". It matches the Rfam family "Bacterial small subunit ribosomal RNA", at positions 524 to 776 of the family's 1533-position model. The record is from RNAcentral.